UACAAGAUUAAUUAGAGAUAAUCAGCAGAGGGAAGGCACUAAAAUUAAAGGGAUUCAAGAAAGACUUUCUGGAGAAGUUUAGAUUUUUGCUGGAACUUGAAGGAAGCCAUGGAAACCAGGAGGGGAAAACGAAGAAACAGAGAAUUCCAGGAAUGAAGUAGAACCCAGGGAAAUGCCCAGGCUUUGCAGAUGAACAGUAAGGAGAUGAGGAGACUGAAACCAAGAAAGAUUAAGUGACUUACCCAAGGCCUCCAAAGUAGGAAGAAUACAAAAGUAGGAUUUGAAUUCAACUCAAAGUUCUGCAGGGAGAACUGCAGUGUUAUUUCUACUGCUUCUUUUCCACUGUUUCUCAAGGGAAAAGGAAUAAAAGUCUCCUUUGAAAAGGAUGGGCAGAAGAGACUGUAG
RNAcentral lists this long non-coding RNA (405 nucleotides) under Monodelphis domestica (gray short-tailed opossum). RNAcentral describes it as "lncRNA (ENSMODG00000038665.1)". Lineage: Eukaryota; Metazoa; Chordata; Mammalia; Didelphimorphia; Didelphidae. The record is from RNAcentral.